UCCAGCCAGAGCUGCAGACUACAAUGACUUAUCUACAUUAAAGUGCAGUUUUACAAGCUGAACCAACAUGUCUGGAGACAGAUUCAUAAUUUCAGCCAUGGAGGGAUUUCAUUUCUCAGACUGACGUUUAUCAUAAUGAGGGGUCUCCAAUGGCCACUUUUAAAGUGAACAAUAUCCAUGAUUUGGGAACCAGAACCCUUGAGUGAAGACCAAGAUGGGACUUCUAAAGUCAGCAUAGGUUUGAAAUGAAGUAAAUUGGACAUGAUCAAAGGAGUGGAAACUUUGGGUGACAACUCAAAAUAUUUCUAAAGGGUCAGUCAGCUUGCGAAAACUGAGAAGUCCAAGGACAUCUGACCACCACCACCCUUUUGUUAACUUUGAAACGCACUGUCGCUAAAAUAAAUUUAUAAUAAAAAAAAAAAAAUAAUAAUAAUUUUCAGGCAUUUGUACUGUAUUUCAAAUCUCCAUCAAGCUGAGUUGAGUAAUCUUUAAACAAUGUACAUUAUUAUGAUUAUUGUCAAGUGAAGUAUUUAAAUGUAAUUACAUUAGGUUAAAUUUAUGAUAUGUACAUUUUGGUAAACAUUACUCAGUUCAGUUGGAUGGAAAUUUGUCAUAAAAUGUAACUUUUGCUGAAUGUUGAGUGUAAUUUUUGCUUUUGUAAUAACUGUAAAUAACAGAUAAUAAAGAUUCAUCCUCAGUGUGUAAUAAAUAAAUAUA
Long non-coding RNA from Xyrauchen texanus (razorback sucker), 717 nucleotides. RefSeq lists it as uncharacterized. The record is from RefSeq and is a predicted model, not a curated record. The transcript has 4 exons. NCBI's taxonomy places the organism in Eukaryota, Metazoa, Chordata, Actinopteri, Cypriniformes, Catostomidae.